Non-coding RNA from Brachypodium distachyon (stiff brome), 125 nucleotides. NCBI's taxonomy places the organism in Eukaryota, Viridiplantae, Streptophyta, Magnoliopsida, Poales, Poaceae. The record is from Rfam.
UUUCUACUCCCUCCGAUCCAUAUUAAUUGACUCAAAUUUGUCCAAAUAUGGAUGUAUCUAUCCCUAAAAAACGUCUAGAUACAUGUAAUAUUUCGACAAUUAAUAUGGAUCGGAAGGAGUAACAG